RNAcentral lists this ribosomal RNA (274 nucleotides) under uncultured bacterium. RNAcentral describes it as "partial 16S ribosomal RNA". It matches the Rfam family "Bacterial small subunit ribosomal RNA", at positions 523 to 796 of the family's 1533-position model. The record is from RNAcentral.
AUACGGAGGGUGCAAGCGUUAUUCGGAAUCACUGGGCGUAAAGGACACGUAGGCGGGUUGGCAAGUCAGAUGUGAAAUCCUACAGCUUAACUGUUGAACUGCAUUUGAAACUGCUAACCUAGAGUAUGGGAGGGGGAGGUGGAAUUAGUGGUGUAGGGGUAAAAUCCGUAGAUAUCACUAGGAAUACCGAAAGCGAAGGCGAUCUCCUGGAACAUAACUGACGCUAAGGCGUGAAAGCGUGGGGAGCAAACAGGAUUAGAAACCCUAGUAGUCC